Molecule: ribosomal RNA, 335 nt
Filed under: uncultured bacterium
Lineage: Bacteria
Description: bacterial SSU rRNA
Rfam family: Bacterial small subunit ribosomal RNA
Source: RNAcentral
UCAGGCCUAACACAUGCAAGUCGAACUAGCUCUAGCGCAAGUUAGAGUGGGUGGCGGACGGGUGAGGAACACGUAAGAACCUACCCCUCGGAGGAGGAUAACUGCUGGAAACGGCAGCUAAUACUCCAUAUGCUGAGGAGCGAAAGGUCGAAAGACCGCCAAGGGAUGGGCUUGCGUCUGAUUAGCUAGUUGGUGAGGUAAAUGCUUACCAAGGCGACGAUCAGUAGCUGGUCUGAGAGGAUGAUCAGCCACACUGGGACUGAGACACGGCCCAGACUCCUACGGGAGGCAGCAGUGAGGAAUUUUUAAAGAGGGGCGAAAGCCUGACGGAGCAA